Molecule: ribosomal RNA, 456 nt
Filed under: uncultured bacterium
Lineage: Bacteria
Description: bacterial SSU rRNA
Rfam family: Bacterial small subunit ribosomal RNA
Source: RNAcentral
CGAACGCUGGCGGUAUGCUUAACACAUGCAAGUCGAACGAACAAAAUUGGGGCUUGCUCCAAUUUUAGUGAGUGGCAAACGGGUGAGUAACACGUGGGAAUCUACCUAUCAGUACGGAAUAACAUUUGGAAACAGAUGCCAAUACCGUAUAUUCUCCAAGGAGGAAAGAUUUAUCGCUGAUAGAUGAGCCCGCGUAAGAUUAGGUAGUUGGUAGGGUAAUGGCCUACCAAGCCGACGAUCUUUAGCUGGUCUGAGAGGAUGAUCAGCCACACUGGGACUGAGACACGGCCCAGACUCCUACGGGAGGCAGCAGUGGGGAAUAUUGGACAAUGGGCGAAAGCCUGAUCCAGCAAUACCGCGUGAAUGAUGAAGGCCUUAGGGUUGUAAAGUUCUUUUAGUUGGAAAGAUAAUGACGGUACCAACAGAAAAAGACCCCGGCUAACUCCGCGCCAGCAG